This 20-nucleotide transfer RNA is filed under the name Saccharomyces cerevisiae (brewer's yeast). Its description in RNAcentral is "E-site tRNA from Saccharomyces cerevisiae (PDB 3J6B, chain e)". The record is from RNAcentral. Lineage: Eukaryota; Fungi; Ascomycota; Saccharomycetes; Saccharomycetales; Saccharomycetaceae.
GCCCGGGAGUCCGGGCACCA